RNAcentral lists this ribosomal RNA (406 nucleotides) under uncultured Glomeromycotina. RNAcentral's name for it is "SSU rRNA". It matches the Rfam family "Eukaryotic small subunit ribosomal RNA", at positions 688 to 1092 of the family's 1831-position model. Lineage: Eukaryota; Fungi; Glomeromycota. The record is from RNAcentral.
GUUGGUUUCUCCCUUCUGACGAACCAUGAUGUCAUUUAUUUGGUGUUGUGGGGAAUCAGGACUGUUACUUUGAAAAAAUUAGAGUGUUUAAAGCAGGCUCACGCUUGAAUACAUUAGCAUGGAAUAAUGAAAUAGGACGUUUGAUUCUAUUUUGUUGGUUUCUAGGAUCGACGUAAUGAUUAAUAGGGAUAGUUGGGGGCAUUAGUAUUCAAUCGUCAGAGGUGAAAUUCUUGGAUUUAUUGAAGACUAACUACUGCGAAAGCAUUUGCCAAGGAUGUUUUCAUUAAUCAAGAACGAAAGUUAGGGGAUCGAAGACGAUCAGAUACCGUCGUAGUCUUAACCAUAAACUAUGCCGACUAGGGAUCGGAUGAUGUUAAUUUUUUAAUGACUCAUUCGGCGCCUUACG